RNAcentral lists this ribosomal RNA (405 nucleotides) under Lactiplantibacillus plantarum. RNAcentral describes it as "bacterial SSU rRNA". It matches the Rfam family "Bacterial small subunit ribosomal RNA", at positions 1138 to 1533 of the family's 1533-position model. Lineage: Bacteria; Bacillati; Bacillota; Bacilli; Lactobacillales; Lactobacillaceae. The record is from RNAcentral.
CUCUGGUGAGACUGCCGGUGACAAACCGGAGGAAGGUGGGGAUGACGUCAAAUCAUCAUGCCCCUUAUGACCUGGGCUACACACGUGCUACAAUGGAUGGUACAACGAGUUGCGAACUCGCGAGAGUAAGCUAAUCUCUUAAAGCCAUUCUCAGUUCGGAUUGUAGGCUGCAACUCGCCUACAUGAAGUCGGAAUCGCUAGUAAUCGCGGAUCAGCAUGCCGCGGUGAAUACGUUCCCGGGCCUUGUACACACCGCCCGUCACACCAUGAGAGUUUGUAACACCCAAAGUCGGURGGGUAACCUUUUAGGAACCAGYCGCCUAAGGUGGGACAGAUGAUUAGGGUGAAGUCGUAACAAGGUAGCCGUAGGAGAACCUGCGGCUGGAUCACCUCCUUUCUAAGGAA